UACGUAGGGCGCAAGCGUUGUCCGGAAUUAUUGGGCGUAAAGAGCUCGUAGGCGGCUUGUCACGUCGGCUGUGAAAACCCGGGGCUCAACCCCGGGCCUGCAGUCGAUACGGGCAGGCUAGAGUUCGGUAGGGGAGACUGGAAUUCCCGGUGUAGCGGUGAAAUGCGCAGAUAUCGGGAGGAACACCGGUGGCGAAGGCGGGUCUCUGGGCCGAAACUGACGCUGAGGAGCGAAAGCGUGGGGAGCAAACAGG
This 253-nucleotide ribosomal RNA is filed under the name uncultured bacterium. Its description in RNAcentral is "partial 16S ribosomal RNA". It matches the Rfam family "Bacterial small subunit ribosomal RNA", at positions 524 to 776 of the family's 1533-position model. The record is from RNAcentral.